RNAcentral lists this ribosomal RNA (253 nucleotides) under uncultured bacterium. RNAcentral's name for it is "partial 16S ribosomal RNA". It matches the Rfam family "Bacterial small subunit ribosomal RNA", at positions 524 to 776 of the family's 1533-position model. The record is from RNAcentral.
UACGUAGGGAGCAAGCGUUGUCCGGAAUCAUUGGGCGUAAAGCGCGCGUAGGUGGCUUCGUAAGUCCGUUGUGAAAGUCAAAGGCUCAACCUUUGAAAGCCGAUGGAUACUGCGGAGCUAGAGUACGGAAGAGGCGAGUGGAAUUCCUGGUGUAGCGGUGGAAUGCGCAGAUAUCAGGAGGAACACCAAUAGCGAAGGCGGCGCUCUGGGCCGGUACUGACGCUGAGGAGCGAAAGCGUGGGGAGCAAACAGG